This 2856-nucleotide ribosomal RNA is filed under the name Neonectria hederae. Its description in RNAcentral is "bacterial LSU rRNA". The stretch from base 799 to 2005 matches the Rfam family "Bacterial large subunit ribosomal RNA", at positions 573 to 2043 of the family's 2925-position model. Lineage: Eukaryota; Fungi; Ascomycota; Sordariomycetes; Hypocreales; Nectriaceae. The record is from RNAcentral.
AAUAAAUUUAUAACAAAAACAUAUGAAAAACAAAAUUAAUAUAAUUAAUAAGCCAAAUUCAAUAUUCUAUGAUGACUGUGAUUUGGAAAAAGUAAGAAUAUUAGAUGAUAAUAAAAAUAAAGCAGGUGUAUACUGUUGAAUAAAUAAUAUUAACUAUAAAUUAUAUGUAGGUAGCUCUAUUAAUUUAAGAACUAGAUUUUAUAAAUAUUAUAGUCUUAAACAUUUAAGUGAAAAUAGGACUCUUAUUUAUAAUGCACUCUUAAAGUAUGGAUAUGGUAAUUUUUCAUUGGUAAUAUUAGAAUAUACCGGAGAAGAUACAAAUCCUAUAGAAAGAGAGCAACAUUAUUUAGACUUAUUGAAACCAGAAUACAACAUAUUAGAAAUAGCAGGUUCUAGUUUAGGUUAUAAACAUACAGAAGAAACUCUAAAGUAUUUUAGAGAAGAUCGAAUAAUUACAGAUGAAACUCGUGAAAACUUAAGUAUUGCAGCUAAAGAAAGAAUACUUCCGCAAGAAGUUAGAGAUAAAAUCUCUGAUAAACGUAAAGGUAUAAAACUUUCGGAGGCAACUCGUGCAAAGAUAUCAGAAUCAGCUAUAAUUUUAAGAGGAGUAAAAGUAAAUAUAACUAAUGUUGAAACAAAUGAAGUAUUGUCGUUUGACAAUAUGACUACUGCAGCUAAACAUAUAGGUGUAAGUAGACCAGCCGUGGCCAAGGCUUUAAAUAAAGGUAGCCUUAUUAAAGGUGUUUUUAAAAUCAAUUAAUAAUUGAUUAUAUUGUAUUUAUUAUUUGCUAAAUGGAUGAUUAAGUCUUUGUAGGGACUUAAUUGUUUAGGGAGAAGGACUUCAGCUUUAUCUAAUUAGAUAGAAGAAGUAGAUUUGUUUCUGCGAAACCUAUAAUAGUAGGCAAUUUAAGUAUAAUAUCUUAGCAGGUACAGAAUUUAAUCUCAGACAAGACAUUAAAUGUUUUAUUUUGUACAAAUGGGGGGAUCAUGAAGAUUUUAUCCGUGAGUAUGCAGACUCGGAAUGGCAAAGAUAUAUCUUAAAUUAUCAGACAUAGAAUGAUAAGGUUGUAUGUCAAAAGGGAAACAGCCCAGAACAAGAGUUAAGGUUCCUAAAUUAUUCGUUGAGUGAAAUUAAGAAGGUUUUUAUUAAAGUCGACAAGGAGAUAGGCUUAGAAGCAGCCAUAAUUUUAUGACCUCGUAACAGAGCGCUUGUUAAGGUUUAAAAGCAUCGAAAAUUUAUCGGAUCUAAACAAUAUACCGAAACCUUGUCCAUAAUAAUUUAUAAUAAUAAUUUAUAUUAUAAUUAAAUGGGGUAGCAGAACGUUGAGCUGAAUUAUGAUUUUUAUUUUUUAAAUAAAAUUAUAACAAUUUAACUCAAGUGAUAAUGGUGACAUGAGUAACUAAAAGAAAAUUUUCCGCCUAAAGCUUAUGGAUAUAAUUAAGUAACGGCCUCUAAGUUUAUAUUAUCUAAAGAUUUAAACGAUGAGAUAAUCUUUAUUACUAAGGACGACAUUUUAAGUGAAAAAUGUACUGGAAAAAUAGUAAUAUAUUUAUAUACGUACGUGUAUAUAAAUGAAAAGUAACCGUACCUAGAAUCUGAAACAAGUAAGCUAGUAGAGAAUACGAAGGCGUAAAUGAGCUAACAAUCAUAAAGGAACUCGGCAAAUUGACUACCGUAACUUCGGGAUAAGGAGAGCUCAUUAUUCUUGAUUAAUAUCAAGUAAAGAGGAAGAAGCAUGAAAUAGUGUUGUACGACUGUUUAAUUAAAACACAGCACUUUGCUGAAAGAUUAAAAAUCUAAGUAUAGAGUGUGAUGUCUGCCCGGUGCCGGCUGGUUAACAGAUAUAAUUGGAUAUACUAAUAUCUGAUGUAGACGGAAACCCCGGUUAAAGGCGGCCUUAACGUGAGGGUCCUAAGGUAGCGAAAUGCCUUGGCCGUUAAAUGCGGUCUUGCAUGAAUGAUGUAACGAUACAACAGCUGUCUCUAUGAUUGACUCAGUGAAAUUGGAAUAGCUGUGCAGAUACAGUUUACCUCUAGUUAGACGAGAAGACCCUAUGCAGCUUUACUGUCACUAAUUAUAGAGUAUGAUAAACAAUUUUCAGUUUAUAAGGUAAUUGACUAGAUAACAAUGAGAAUCCUUUAUUUUUUUUUCAUAUGAAUGAAUUGAUUUAGGAUUAUGAGAUGUUUUUAUAAACGACUCAUUUUAGUAAAUCAACCUAGUUCAGCUUAUUUUUAUAAUAUAAGUACCCUUUGGUGAGGAACUAUCGCUAGGGGACAGUUUAUGUGGGGCACAGACCCUGUAAAGAGUAAACAGGAGUGUCUAAUAAUUUAAAAUUAUUUUGUUUGCGAUUUAAGGUAGUUUAACUAUUUUUAAUCAUAUAAAAUUAUUUAUAUGUACAUUCUAUGCUUUGUCAUAAGUCUGUAUAUAUAUUUAAAAAAAGGUAGGAUUUUCACUAUAUAGAAAUUAGAGAUAAUUAGAGAUAUUAUGUACUUAGUGACUAAUGUUUUUUAACUAUUAUUUAUAGUUAUGUUUUAAAUAUCUAAAAAGCUCAACGGCUUAAUCUUGCCUUACUGUUUGAUUAUCAACAAAUCUUACAGUUGCGUAAGCAGGGCAUAGGAUCACAAGAUGCAACAAGGAAAGAUCUUGGAUUAUUGGAAAAGCUACGCUAGGGAUGUUUGUCCUUUAAUAUUUUAUUUAGGGCUAUGUGUUGCUGCUGCUGUUGCUGCUGCUUAUUUCAUAGCAAGCUAAAGCUACCGCUAAGGCAGCUGUGUAAGUAAACAUGUGGUUUCACAGCAGUGAAAAACAAGAGUGUACUAUUUCUAUAAAAUAUGGCACGUAGUUAUAAAUAGAAUAAU